RNAcentral lists this ribosomal RNA (315 nucleotides) under Triticum aestivum (bread wheat). Its description in RNAcentral is "partial small subunit ribosomal RNA". The record is from RNAcentral. Lineage: Eukaryota; Viridiplantae; Streptophyta; Magnoliopsida; Poales; Poaceae.
AUGGCUAAGAGGCUGAGGUCUGGUGGCCAGAUCCAUGCGGAGCGAAUAGUGCUCAUGCCUCCUAUGUCAACAGCCAUAGCUGUGAUGGAACAUGUAUGUUUCGAGAUCGAAGAAGGAUACGGAGAGACCAAUCCAUAUGUGUCUACCUUGUUCGACAAAAUAUGGUACGUGAAAGACGUUGGUGACUGUUGCUCCCGCAUUUCUUCAAAAUUCAAAACAAAGAAGGAUGACAACGAUGAAGAUGGAGAAGAGGUUGACAGCUUUGCGUGCAAAAGGCGUAAAACUGGAAGCCAGCCAGUGCUCACUGCCAUUUAG